AUCUUGAUAAAAUUUAUAUGUGACCACAUGAUAAACAUCAGAUUUCGAUUAAAUUAAAAAUUAUCAAAACCGGUACACCCAGUAAAAAGUUAUUGCAGAUUUUCGAGAGUUUCCCUCGAUUUCUCUGGGAUCCCAUCAUCAGAUCCUGGUUUCCUUAUCACGGUACCAAACUAGGGAUAUCCCCUUUCCAACAAAAAAAGAAUUAUCAAAAUCGGUACAUUCAGUAGAAAGUUAUGCGGUAUAAUACAACGUAGGUCGACGAAAAAAGCGUCAAGUAAAAACGCAUAAUUAGAUACAACUCGAAAAGUAGUUGUUAGAUCUCAAAUAAAUUUAAAUGUGACCAAUUGACACACACCACCUUUCGAUUUAAAAAAAAAUUGUCGAAGUCGGUCCACCCGGUCAAAAGUUCUGAUGU
This 415-nucleotide unclassified non-coding RNA is filed under the name Melitaea cinxia (Glanville fritillary). RNAcentral describes it as "misc RNA ENSMCXG00005008821.1". Lineage: Eukaryota; Metazoa; Arthropoda; Insecta; Lepidoptera; Nymphalidae. The record is from RNAcentral.